Molecule: unclassified non-coding RNA, 228 nt
Filed under: air metagenome
Description: partial contains small subunit ribosomal RNA, internal transcribed spacer 1, and 5.8S ribosomal RNA
Rfam family: Eukaryotic small subunit ribosomal RNA (bases 1-46)
Source: RNAcentral
AAGUCGUAACAAGGUCUCCGUAGGUGAACCUGCGGAGGGAUCAUUACCGAGUGAGGGCCUCCGGGCCCGACCUCCAACCCUUCUGUGAACCACUCUUGUUGCUUCGGGGGCGACCCCGCCGUUCGCGCGGCGGCGGCGCCCCCGGGGGCCAAUCAAACACUGCGUAACCGAGCGUCGGAGUAUUGAUUAAAUCAAACAAAACUUUCAACAACGGAUCUCUUGGUUCUG